GGAAGUAGCCCCUUGAGACUAUUUGUACUUUUUUUUUUUCAAACAGUGGGGCUCCAGAGCCUGUACAUGUUGCUGGGUGUGCAGUAAACACACAGAAAACAGUAUAUGCCCACCCUGCUCGUGAGGAGGGAGUUGCUGAGUCUACACUCUGUGCCAUCUACCAUGCAAUUCACCACAGUAAUUUCGAAUAGCUUCUUGGGUCUUGCAUCAUUUGUGAAAGUGAAGCAAACCUUCCUCUACUGUACAGAGUGUCCAGAAAUAGAGCUCAUCAGAGUAACCCAGUUGACAUAAUGAGACUGCAAGCACACCAAGGGGAGUUUCUGGACAGCUAGAGGACAUCUGAGGAGCACGGCUAAGCCUCAAACCCUCCUUAGGACUACUGUGAACCCCUAUACUUCUGCAGCUACAGUUCCCAAAUUUCUGGGCUCCAUCCCAACAAAAUGUCUAGAAAAAUUUGCUCUAUUUUUGAUCCUCGUUUUUUUUUUGUUUUGUUUUUUUUUUUUUUUCCUCAUUUCAGAACAGUGAUGGCUUUUCCAGGUAAAGCAUCUUGUUACCUUAUAAGUUUCAUUAAAUAGAUGGCCUUUGAACUAGACCUUGCAGAAUGGGUAAAAUUUAUUUUGGAAAAGAAGUGAAAGAGGGCUAUCAGAGAGUGUUUUCAUGAAUGUAUAAGCCUGGAAUCUGGAUGUCUUUGAUAAGGAGCGAUAAAAGGGUACAUUUGGGUGUGGAUUAAUUCACUUACUCAGUAUAUACAUAUAUAUAGAAACCACAAUUUGAUACAGGAAAUAUAGCAAAGGAUUAGACCUGGUCCAGCUCUCAUGAUGUUCAGAGACAGUGAUGGUUCCGGGGGCAGAGAGACGCAGUGGACAUCAAGAGGUGGGCUAAUUCAUUAUUUGAAGAAUCUUCAAUGACACACAAAGGAGUUUGAAUUUUAUCCCAUCACUACUUAUAACAGCACUUUUUUUGACACUAAUCACAUGCUGGGCAGUAUUCACUAUUUAUUAUUGUAACAACCUUAUGGUAUAGAGAGAUAUUUUACUGACAGGGAGACUGAAGCAUGGAGUAGGUACCUAACUUGGCUAAGGACUCAGAGCUAAUAAGAGGUAGAGUCAGGAUUGAGUCCAGGUAUUUUGGCUUCAGAGUCUAUAGUCUUAUCAUUUGUAAAUAUAUAAUAUGUGGCUAAAGCGAAGCUUUUUUAUAUGAAAAAAGUAAAACAAGGUUAAUGAUGUUGGGAAAAAUCAUUGGAAGAUGCAGCAGUGUGUAUCAGAGCCUGGACUAGACUCCACAAGGCUUUAGGUCCAUUGCUGCUUCUGCUCCACAUAGAGUGUGCACUAGUGUGCAAAAACUUUGUGGAUGCACUUGGAUAAAUUAAGAGAAAUAUGUUUACACUACAAGAGGUGGUAAUGCUGCAGUCCUCUUUUUUUUUUUUUUUUUUUUUCCUUUCUGCUUUUUAGGACCAAACCCAUGGCAUAUGGAAGUUUUCAGGCUAGGGAUUGAGUCGGAGCUGUAGAUGCCAGCGUACGCCACACCCAUCACCAGAUCCGAGCCAUGUGUUUGACCUACACCACAGCUCACAACAAUGCCAGAUCCUUAACCCACUGAGCAGAGCCAGGUUCAAAACUUGGAUUCAUUUCUGCAGUGCCACAAGGCUUGCUGCAUUCUUUUGUGCUGGUGAGACUAAUAGUGAGCAGUGAGAGGGUUCAGUUGUGUCUGUCUUCCUCUCCGAAUACAUCAGCUGGGGCCCAAAGUUAACAUAUCCAAAGGUAGAAAUGGUUUGUUUUUGUUGUUCCAAGCAAGGUCAAACUUGCAGAAAGGUGCGUUUGGUUGGGUGAGGAUGACCCAGCUAUCUCGAUGUCCUUUUACUAAUCACGGCAUACGAGGUGGUAGAGUCACAAAAUACCUCAUCGUCAGCUGCCUUAGAGACUAGCUUGACCUCCCCCAGGACUCGAUCUACUGUGAAAUGCAUUCAGGCACAGGGAAUAUCAGUGCAAAAACCCCAGGAUUUAUUCCUCACUAAAAGGUGGCUUGGAGGGAUGUCACACGUAGAAAGUGGACUGAUUCAUUUCCACUCCCAGCAUUGUUUCAAUCGAGCUUGGCACAAAGAUGAUCAAUGCUGACUCAGAGCUAUGUCCAGAUGGAGAGAGAGCCUUCUAAACUAUCACAUCCAACCCAGUCCUGGUCUACCACUCCCCCUCGAGUCUCUAGAAUCCUCACUGUCCUAUCUAUAGGGUGCACCCAUUCCAGAGGAUAAGACUCCACUCAUAUUUGGUCCUUUGCCUUCCCAGCAGGACCCCAAAACCCCCUCACCCUUUCGUCUAUGCAGACUGGCACAGAAGAAAUGAUUCUGAAAAAUAAACUAGCUAAUCAUUAGAUGAAAGCA
RNAcentral lists this long non-coding RNA (2377 nucleotides) under Sus scrofa (pig). Its description in RNAcentral is "lncRNA (ENSSSCG00035055250.1)". The record is from RNAcentral. Lineage: Eukaryota; Metazoa; Chordata; Mammalia; Artiodactyla; Suidae.